CCUCCUCCUCCUCCUCCUCCUCUUCCUCCUGAGAGCGUCAGGGGAGGAGGGAGGAAGAGGAGGAGGAGA
Molecule: non-coding RNA, 69 nt
Organism: Xyrichtys novacula (pearly razorfish)
Lineage: Eukaryota; Metazoa; Chordata; Actinopteri; Labriformes; Labridae
Source: the annotation of a GenBank genome assembly